RNAcentral lists this ribosomal RNA (468 nucleotides) under uncultured bacterium. Its description in RNAcentral is "partial 16S ribosomal RNA". It matches the Rfam family "Bacterial small subunit ribosomal RNA", at positions 28 to 507 of the family's 1533-position model. The record is from RNAcentral.
GACGAACGCUGGCGGCGUGCUUAACACAUGCAAGUCGAACGGUAAGGCCCUGCUUUUGUGGGGUGCUCGAGUGGCGAACGGGUGAGUAACACGUGAGUAACCUGCCCUUGACUUUGGGAUAACUUCAGGAAACUGGGGCUAAUACCGGAUAGGAGCUCCUGCUGCAUGGUGGGGGUUGGAAAGUUUCGGCGGUUGGGGAUGGACUCGCGGCUUAUCAGCUUGUUGGUGGGGUAGUGGCUUACCAAGGCUUUGACGGGUAGCCGGCCUGAGAGGGUGACCAGCCACAUUGGGACUGAGAUACGGCCCAGACUCGUACGGGGGGCAGCAGUGGGGAAUAUUGCACAAAGAGCGGAAGCCUGAUGCAGCAACGCCGGGUGCGGGAUGACGGCCUUCGGGUUGUAAACCGCUUUCGCCUGUGACGAAGCGAGAGUGACGGUAAUGGGUAAAGAAGCACCGGCUAACUACGUG